AGAGUUUGAUCCUGGCUCAGGACGAACGCUGGCGGCGCGCCUAACACAUGCAAGUCGAACGAGAGAGAGGGAGCUUGCUUCCUCGAUCGAGUGGCGAACGGGUGAGUAACGCGUGAGGAACCUGCCUCAAAGAGGGGGACAACAGUUGGAAACGACUGCUAAUACCGCAUAAGCCCACGGCUCGGCAUCGAGCAGAGGGAAAAGGAGCAAUCCGCUUUGAGAUGGCCUCGCGUCCGAUUAGCUAGUUGGUGAGGUAAUGGCCCACCAAGGCGACGAUCGGUAGCCGGACUGAGAGGUUGAACGGCCACAUUGGGACUGAGACACGGCCCAGACUCCUACGGGAGGCAGCAGUGGGGAAUAUUGCACAAUGGGGGAAACCCUGAUGCAGCGACGCCGCGUGGAGGAAGAAGGUUUUCGGAUUGUAAACUCCUGUUGUUGAGGAAGAUAAUGACGGUACUCAACAAGGAAGUGACGGCUAACUACGUGCCAGCAGCCGCGGUAAAACGUAGGUCACAAGCGUUGUCCGGAAUUACUGGGUGUAAAGGGAGCGCAGGCGGGCGAUCAAGUUGGAAGUGAAAUCCAUGGGCUCAACCCAUGAACUGCUUUCAAAACUGAUUGUCUUGAGUAGUGCAGAGGUAGGCGGAAUUCCCGGUGUAGCGGUGGAAUGCGUAGAUAUCGGGAGGAACACCAGUGGCGAAGGCGGCCUACUGGGCACCAACUGACGCUGAGGCUCGAAAGUGUGGGUAGCAAACAGGAUUAGAUACCCUGGUAGUCCACACCGUAAACGAUGAUUACUAGGUGUUGGAGGAUUGACCCCUUCAGUGCCGCAGUUAACACAAUAAGUAAUCCACCUGGGGAGUACGACCGCAAGGUUGAAACUCAAAGGAAUUGACGGGGGCCCGCACAAGCAGUGGAGUAUGUGGUUUAAUUCGAAGCAACGCGAAGAACCUUACCAAGCCUUGACAUCCCAUUGACAGAGCAUGUAAUGUGCUUUCCCUUCGGGGCAGUGGUGACAGGUGGUGCAUGGUUGUCGUCAGCUCGUGUCGUGAGAUGUUGGGUUAAGUCCCGCAACGAGCGCAACCCCUAUCUUCAGUAGCCAGCGGUUCGGCCGGGCACUCUGGAGAGACUGCCAGGGAUAACCUGGAGGAAGGUGGGGAUGACGUCAAAUCAUCAUGCCCCUUAUGGCUUGGGCUACACACGUGCUACAAUGGCGUAAACAAAGGGAAGCGAGCCUGCGAGGGGGAGCAAAUCCCAAAAAUAACGUCUCAGUUCGGAUUGUAGUCUGCAACUCGACUACAUGAAGCUGGAAUCGCUAGUAAUCGCGAAUCAGAAUGUCGCGGUGAAUACGUUCCCGGGUCUUGUACACACCGCCCGUCACACCAUGGGAGUCGGCAACGCCCGAAGCCAGUGACCCAACCGAAAGGAGGGAGCUGUCGAAGGCGGGGCCGGUAACUGGGGUGAAGUCGUAACAAGGUA
This 1476-nucleotide ribosomal RNA is filed under the name metagenome. Its description in RNAcentral is "bacterial SSU rRNA". It matches the Rfam family "Bacterial small subunit ribosomal RNA". The record is from RNAcentral.